UACGGGAGGCAGCAGUGGGGAAUAUUGCACAAUGGGCGCAAGCCUGAUGCAGCGACGCCGCGUGAGGGAUGGAGGCCUUCGGGUUGUAAACCUCUUUUAUCGGGGAGCAAGCGUGAGUGAGUUUACCCGUUGAAUAAGCACCGGCUAACUACGUGCCAGCAGCCGCGGUAAUACGUAGGGUGCAAGCGUUAUCCGGAAUUAUUGGGCGUAAAGGGCUCGUAGGCGGUUCGUCGCGUCCGGUGUGAAAGUCCAUCGCUUAACGGUGGAUCCGCGCCGGGUACGGGCGGGCUUGAGUGCGGUAGGGGAGACUGGAAUUCCCGGUGUAACGGUGGAAUGUGUAGAUAUCGGGAAGAACACCAAUGGCGAAGGCAGGUCUCUGGGCCGUUACUGACGCUGAGGAGCGAAAGCGUGGGGAGCGAACAGGAUUAGAUACCCUGGUAGUCCACGCCGUAAACGGUGGAUGCUGGAUGUGGGGCCCGUUCCACGGGUUCCGUGUCGGAGCUAACGCGUUAAGCAUCCCGCCUGGGGAGUACGGCCGCAAGGCUAAAACUCAAAGAAAUUGACGGGGGCCCGCACAAGCGGCGGAGCAUGCGGAUUAAUUCGAUGCAACGCGAAGAACCUUACCUGGGCUUGACAUGUUCCCGACGGCCGUAGAGAUACGGCUCCCUUCGGG
This 673-nucleotide ribosomal RNA is filed under the name Bifidobacterium longum subsp. suis. RNAcentral's name for it is "bacterial SSU rRNA". It matches the Rfam family "Bacterial small subunit ribosomal RNA", at positions 340 to 1024 of the family's 1533-position model. Lineage: Bacteria; Bacillati; Actinomycetota; Actinomycetes; Bifidobacteriales; Bifidobacteriaceae. The record is from RNAcentral.